Planococcus citri (citrus mealybug) is the source of this 4047-nucleotide long non-coding RNA. RefSeq lists it as uncharacterized. The record is from RefSeq and is a predicted model, not a curated record. Lineage: Eukaryota; Metazoa; Arthropoda; Insecta; Hemiptera; Pseudococcidae. The transcript has 2 exons.
CAGCACACCUGAGAAAUGUGCAAUGAGGUAGUAAAAAAAGAUCCCAAAGUUUUGUUCCUUCAACUUGAUUUUAACCAGUGUCUCAACGACCCCAAAGUUUAAAAAGUGAUGUCCCAGCGCAACCUCACAAAUUCCACCACAAACGCGCCGUGGAGAAUUCGUUCUAUAUACCCAGUAUCACAACAUUGGGGGGGGGGGAGGUGGCUUGUGAACAUAAUUCCUCCUUGGUUCAUUGUAUGUAAAAUUACUAACGCCAAAUUCGAGUAGUAGCUUGUGUUUCUUGUGCUCAUAACAUAAGUCAUAAUUAUUUUUUUUGAUAGGUAUGUAAGAAGUCAAGACAAUGUUCAUUUGAUUGGAACUGUUGCUGACCAAUCAAAAGUCAGCAAGCUACUUUCAAAAAGUUGUUUUAUCUUAUAAAAUAAGGAAAUUGAACAUUUCUAUUCAUGAUGGUCCGAAAUAGGUUGUGAAUUUGUGCUCAGCAUCCUGUCAAAAAUGUCAGAUACCAAGGAGUGACAUAUCAUAUUGCAUUAAAAAAUUAGAACUAUGGGUGUCUACCAAAAUUUGAUAUUCAAAAAUCGCGACUUUUCGCCAACUUUUCUCUUCAGUAUUACCCACUUACCCCUCAGUUUUCAAAAAAAAAAACAAAAAAAAACGGGUUUCUAAGAAAGUUUCCACUUUUUUAGAGAGUUUUUCAGUUGUCCAAAAACAGUUUUUGUCCACUGUACUAAAAAAAUAUGAAAAAAAAAUUGAAAACUUCAUUUAUAUUAUUCAAUGAAAUGAAUAUUAGGUAUUUAUAGGAAGUACUAAAAUAAAAAAAAAAUGGAUUUUAAGGGGUGUGAUUUAAUACCACGACAAAAAAAGGGCGUCAGCACGACAAGCAUAGGCACUUUCACGCCAGAAAAAUCAUUACCACGACUAAAUUGGAAAUUCCCUACAAUAAAUCGAGCUUACCACGACAUAAAAGGUAUUCCAACGACAAAAUAAUGUAUCAAACAACGAAUUAAAAAAUUCACGACAUUUUAUUACUUUCAACUGCUAUAAGUAUAAGACAACGCACGACAAAAUUUUUCUAUCAAAAACAGGCAUUUCACCGACAGAAAUAAACGUUUAAAAAAUAUUAAAAUGAUACCAAAAAAACGAAAGUAGGUAUGUAAGAAAUUGCUGUUUAUAGAAGUAAUGUUUUGUCAUUUGUGGACUUUGAUGGGCGAGAGGGCGACCCAUCUUCCUGUUUUGACCUCAGGGACAAAGCGAAAGGGGGCUAAGGGGAGACAGUUUGCCCCCCUCCAAAAUUUCAACAAUAUUUUAGUUCCAGUUUUCAAAAAUUCAAAUUUUUUACAAUCAUGUAUUCAAUUAUCGUUUGGUUGCCGACAAAAUCGCCAAUCUAUCCUCAAAAUUCUCAUUUUUUUCCCAAGCUUUUGCCCUCGCUUUGCUUAGGCCAAUUUGGUUCUCUUCUACUGAGUUACAAUUUCACUCAAAUUUUUUUGAAAGAAACCCUCAGUUGAUUAUUUGUCAACAUUUGUACAAAAUGUAAUUUGUAAUUGAACUGAUAAUGUUCCUGUCCUGUAUGAAAUUAUUUUGUCAUGAAUACUGCUUAUCUCGUUAUUAAAUCGUAGUCGUUCAUAAAUACUUUAUUGUCGGGCGUCAUCUGGCGUGGAACUUCAUCAUCUUUAUGAACGAAGAAAUGCUUGUCUUUAUGACGCCCUUUUUCAUCCUGCAAAAAAUUUUUCCCCGAUUUUAAGUCUGCACUAUUUUUAGCGACUUUUUGGUAAGAAUUGUGACCAUUUCACAACUUUUGCAACCUAUUUUCAAAAUCGUCACUUUUUUGAGACUUUCGCGACUUUUGUAACCUGAUAAACAUCCUGCUAUUCUAUGGAAAUUGGCAAAAAUUGAACAGAAAUGAAACACGACAUACUGAUACACAAAAUACAGAAGUCAAGAAAAAUGUGGACAGUUUGGAUUUGUUAUUUGAUAUUGCUCAUGCUGAAGCUUUAAAUGUAAUCAAAGUUAAUGAAGAAAAGAAAUCGUUGAUGAUGCAAUGGGAACUAGGUCAACCUAGAUAUAUUCCAGGCAUUGCUUAUGCGUUACUGAAGAAAGAAAAACAGCAGGCACUGAAACAAAAAGCAGACACUGAAGCACAAAUCACAAUGCAGUAAAAUGGUUGAAAUCCCUGCUUUUUCCAAUGCUGGAAGUUCAGAAACAGGAGAUUAAAAAUUUACUGAAUUUGGAGGAAUUGAUCCGAAUGUUCUGGUUCCACUGGCAAAACAAAAGUUUUCAACACCUCAACUUUGCAUUGCUCUUAAUAGAGCAAAGGUUAGUGGUUGAGAUGCCACACAUACUGACAGCAUGUUUAGAAACAUUGGGAAAAAAUUCGGAAGAAUAUAUUCUCAACAGAAAGUGAUUCCAUGAAUUCCGUAUUGACUCUCGAUUUUGUUCUAAUAUUCAAAAUUAUUACACCAGAUUUGAACGUUGAUGAAAAAGUUGGCCAUCUGCCAGUUGCAGUUACUGGACUAUAUUUAGAUCAGCCGUUGGGAGUUCCUGAAAUUUGAUCAUCAACUGCAUGCUAAAAUGGCAUCUCCCAUCUACAACUCUUUAGAAAGUUGGAACCUCUUUGGAAAAGUACAUGGUUGAUUGGUUGUGUAUUUGAUAAGUACAAUGGCAUCCAACAGUGGUCGCAUAAAAGGAGCAUGGACCAGGGACAUUAAUGGAGCAAAAUCUUGGCUGAGAAAUAUUGUUUCUUCCUUGUCGUCAUCACAUUAUGGAGCUCAUUCUCCAAGCUGCAGUCACUGAGGCUAAAUUAUAUGUCCCAUCAGGUCCAUGAUAUUCUUAUUUUCAAAAGAUUUAAUGAAGCCUGGUCUUCAAUAGAUACACAACAUACUUGAUUGGUCCUCACUUCAUCAUUAAUCAAUAUUUGAGAACAUAUGACUGUGUUUUGGCUAGAAAAAAUCAAUGAAGAUCAUUAGAGGGAAGAUAACCAACAACUUUUGCAAUUAGGUACCUAGUAAUUAUUGUUUUGGGUGGAACUCUACCUGAUGAAGAAAUCACAAUACGCAAACCAGGAGCAUUUGUCAAAAGAUAUUUAUUGCUUGAAAAUAUUUUGAUUUGAUUUUGGGAACAAUUCUGCUUAUCUAAACCUGAGAAAGCUGCUUUGGUACAAAUAUAGGUACUUCUUAGUUCCCUGUUAUAAAAUUAAAAAUUUUUGUGAAGCCAUGGAGUUUGGCGACUGAUCCCUUCUUUGCCACAAUUAAGUAAUGACAUCAAAUAAUUGAGAAACCUGCUGAACUUCUAACAGGAAAAAAGAAAAAUUGCUGAAUACUGCCCGAAGAAAAUUCUGAAUCAUCUCUAUGGUAUCUUAGAGAACAGCGGUUACAUUUUCUUCAUGCAUGAUGAUAUACCUGUCAAAACCAGGAAAAAAUGGGACAAAUUCUUCUGGAUAACUCAUUAGACAAUUCCAAGUAUGUUCAAGAAUCGACUUGUAAAAAACCAUAAAAUUCCACCAUCAGAUCCGCCUUCCUAGAUGAUGAUCUGUCUGAAGUUUUAUUGAGCAGUCAUAAUCCUGCUGUCUGUUCCAAAAAUUGGAAAUUGAUUCAGUUUUUUAGAAUUUGAAUCCACUGGUUGGAAGAAUAACUCUAAAUAUUUAAACGGAAAAAUUAAAGUAAUGUCCCUAAAAAUUGUAAAUGAGGCUGCUGAAUUACUUAGCUGUGAAACUUAUGGAGGACUUCAAAUCUUCAAUAAUAAAAUUACAAAAAACGAGAAUCAAAAACAAUUCUUACUCCAGGUAAGUAAAAAUGAAGCAGCAAACAGGUAACAUAAUUAAUAUGAAAAUCUGGUUUUCAUUAAUAAAGUCAUGUUCAUUCAAUGAAAGCAUUGAAAGCAAUUUUAUAUAUCCUUGUAACUUUUUGAAUUGUUUGCAGGUGGUGAAGAAGUACAGUCAAUCAUAUAAAAACAAAAAUAGAAGUUCAUUGAAAGCUCGGUAUUUUUUUGCAGCCGAAUAAAAUGUUUGAAAAAUUGUGUUUUUUGUAGUAUGUUUAAAUAUAAAAUUUUAAAAAC